RNAcentral lists this ribosomal RNA (938 nucleotides) under Cladosporium cladosporioides. RNAcentral describes it as "SSU rRNA". It matches the Rfam family "Eukaryotic small subunit ribosomal RNA", at positions 158 to 1105 of the family's 1831-position model. Lineage: Eukaryota; Fungi; Ascomycota; Dothideomycetes; Cladosporiales; Cladosporiaceae. The record is from RNAcentral.
CUAGAGCUAAUACAUGCUGAAAAUCCCGACUUCGGAAGGGAUGUGUUUAUUAGAUAAAAAACCAAUGCCCUUCGGGGCUUUUUGGUGAUUCAUGAUAACUUUACGGAUCGCAUAGCCUUGCGCUGGCGACGGUUCAUUCAAAUUUCUGCCCUAUCAACUUUCGAUGGUAAGGUAUUGGCUUACCAUGGUUUCAACGGGUAACGGGGAAUUAGGGUUCGAUUCCGGAGAGGGAGCCUGAGAAACGGCUACCACAUCCAAGGAAGGCAGCAGGCGCGCAAAUUACCCAAUCCCGACACGGGGAGGUAGUGACAAUAAAUACUGAUACAGGGCUCUUUUGGGUCUUGUAAUUGGAAUGAGUACAAUUUAAACCUCUUAACGAGGAACAAUUGGAGGGCAAGUCUGGUGCCAGCAGCCGCGGUAAUUCCAGCUCCAAUAGCGUAUAUUAAAGUUGUUGCAGUUAAAAAGCUCGUAGUUGAAACUUGGGCCUGGCUGGCGGGUCCGCCUCACCGCGUGCACUCGUCCGGCCGGGCCUUCCUUCUGAAGAACCUCAUGCCCUUCACUGGGCGUGCUGGGGAAUCAGGACUUUUACUUUGAAAAAAUUAGAGUGUUCAAAGCAGGCCUUUGCUCGAAUACGUUAGCAUGGAAUAAUAAAAUAGGGCGUGCGUUUCUAUUUUGUUGGUUUCUAGAGACGCCGCAAUGAUUAACAGGAACAGUCGGGGGCAUCAGUAUUCAGUUGUCAGAGGUGAAAUUCUUGGAUUUACUGAAGACUAACUACUGCGAAAGCAUUUGCCAAGGAUGUUUUCAUUAAUCAGUGAACGAAAGUUAGGGGAUCGAAGACGAUCAGAUACCGUCGUAGUCUUAACCGUAAACUAUGCCGACUAGGGAUCGGGCGAUGUUCUUUUUCUGACUCGCUCGGCACCUUACGAGAAAUCAAAGUU